This 500-nucleotide ribosomal RNA is filed under the name uncultured bacterium. RNAcentral describes it as "partial 16S ribosomal RNA". It matches the Rfam family "Bacterial small subunit ribosomal RNA", at positions 30 to 523 of the family's 1533-position model. The record is from RNAcentral.
AUUGAACGCUGGCGGAAUGCUUUACACAUGCAAGUCGAACGGCAGCACGGACUUCGGUCUGGUGGCGAGUGGCGAACGGGUGAGUAAUGUAGCGGAACGUGCCCAGUCGUGGGGGAUAACGUAGUGAAAAUUACGCUAAUACCGCAUACGAUCUAUGGAUGAAAGCGGGGGAUCGCAAGACCUCGCGCGAUUGGAGCGGCCGAUAUCAGAUUAGGUAGUUGGUGGGGGAAAGGCCCACCAAGCCAACGAUCUGUAGCUGGUCUGAGAGGACGACCAGCCACACUGGAACUGAGACACGGUCCAGGCUCCUACGGGAGGCAGCAGUGGGGAAUUUUGGACAAUAGGCGAAAGCCUGAUCCAGCCAUUCCGCGUGCAGGAUGAAGGCCCUCGGGUUGUAAACUGCUUUUGUACAGAACGAAAAGGUUUCUACUAAUACUAGGAGCUCAUGACGGUACUGUAAGAAUAAGCACCGGCUAACUACGUGCCAGCCGCCGCUGUAA